UACAGGGGGUGCAAGCGUUGCUCGGAAUCAUUGGGCGUAAAGCGCACGUAGGCGGUCUGUUAUGUCGGAUGUGAAAGCCCUUGGCUCAACUGAGGAAGUGCAUCCGAAACUGGCAGGCUAGAGUACUAAAGAGGAUCGCGGAAUUCCCGGUGUAGAGGUGAAAUUCGUAGAUAUCGGGAGGAACACCGGUGGCGAAGGCGGCGAUCUGGGUAGAUACUGACGCUGAGGUGCGAAAGCGUGGGGAGCAAACAGG
This 253-nucleotide ribosomal RNA is filed under the name uncultured bacterium. RNAcentral's name for it is "partial 16S ribosomal RNA". It matches the Rfam family "Bacterial small subunit ribosomal RNA", at positions 524 to 776 of the family's 1533-position model. The record is from RNAcentral.